CUCCACCAUUUCCACGUGGCCCAGCACAAUCCCUAGCAAUGUGACCUAUCUUUCCACAUAAGAAGCAUGCACCAGUGAGUCUGUGGCACUGCCUCCCCGGAUGAUUAGCCCCACAAGUAGCACAAGGAGCUAUCGGAAUAAGAUUCGGGUUACCCCCACCAGCUGGUCCUGGGUAACGACCCUGAUUUUGCCCCUGCGGACGAUUAUUCCCCUGCUGACGAUUCUGUCUAUACCAAGGUAGCUGAAGCUGACGAUUCUGUCUAUACCAAGGUAGCUGAAGCUGACGAUUUUGCCCCUGUUGAGGCAUCUGCUGAUAGCCCCUGUUCUGAUUCUGGCUACGCCACUGCCCCUGCUGAACACCACGAUUUCUGUUCCACUGACCACCUUGAUUUCUCC
This 396-nucleotide long non-coding RNA is filed under the name Panax ginseng (ginseng). RNAcentral describes it as "long non-coding RNA (PGIN_LNC000573)". Lineage: Eukaryota; Viridiplantae; Streptophyta; Magnoliopsida; Apiales; Araliaceae. The record is from RNAcentral.